UCAGUUGAUUUUACCUGGAUCAUCAACCAUAACCUUACAAUCGAUUAUUUUAUCUCAUGCUGAUAAUCAAAUCUGAUUGAUUUUUGUGGAGAUACCAAUCAAAACCAACACCUAUCCAAUUUCUUAAGCUUGGACCAACACCAAGUUUCUACAUCCAAAAAAUUUGUUACAACAAAACAAAUAGAAAUAUACAAGGAAG
Molecule: long non-coding RNA, 199 nt
Filed under: Elaeis guineensis (African oil palm)
Lineage: Eukaryota; Viridiplantae; Streptophyta; Magnoliopsida; Arecales; Arecaceae
Description: long non-coding RNA (EGUI_LNC037088)
Source: RNAcentral